GGCCUGCCCACUGGGGAUUUAAAUGGCCGCGGUAUUUUGACCGUGCAAAGGUAGCAUAAUAAUUAGUUUUUUAAUUGAAAGCUGGAAUGAAAGGUUGGAUGAGAAAAUAACUGUCUCUAUUUAGAUUAAUUAGAAUUUUAUUUUUAAGUAAAAAAGCUUAAAUGAAAAUAGAAGACGAGAAGACCCUAUAGAGUUUUAAUUUAGUUGGGGUGAUUGAAAAAUUUAAUAAACUUUUUUUAUAUUUAUCCAUUGAUUUAUGAGUAGUUGAUCCUUUUUUAAAGAUUAAAAGAAAAAAUUACCUUAGGGAUAACAGCGUAAUUUUUUUAGAGAGUUCAAAUCGAAAAAAAAGAUUGCGACCUCGAUGUUGGAUUAAAAUUAAGUCUUGGUGUAGAAGCUAA
RNAcentral lists this ribosomal RNA (398 nucleotides) under Rhyncogonus navicularis. RNAcentral describes it as "partial 16S ribosomal RNA". It matches the Rfam family "Archaeal large subunit ribosomal RNA", at positions 1946 to 2634 of the family's 2987-position model. The record is from RNAcentral. Lineage: Eukaryota; Metazoa; Arthropoda; Insecta; Coleoptera; Curculionidae.